AAGGAUUUAAGUUAAAUUAAACUAAAAGCCUUCAAAGCUUUUAAUAAAGAAAAUCUUUAAGCCUUA
RNAcentral lists this transfer RNA (66 nucleotides) under Pselaphinae sp. 9 EF-2015. Its description in RNAcentral is "tRNA-Trp". Lineage: Eukaryota; Metazoa; Arthropoda; Insecta; Coleoptera; Staphylinidae. The record is from RNAcentral.